UACGUAGGGGGCAAGCGUUGUCCGGAAUCAUUGGGCGUAAAGAGCGUGUAGGCGGUCCGAUAAGUCCGCUCUGAAAGCCCGGGGCUCAACCCCGGGAGGCGGGCGGAUACUGUCGGGCUAGAGUCCGGAAGAGGCAAGUGGAAUUCCUGGUGUAGCGGUGGAAUGCGCAGAUAUCAGGAGGAACACCAAUAGCGAAGGCAGCUCGCUGGGACGGUACUGACGCUAAGGCGCGAAAGCGUGGGGAGCGAACAGG
RNAcentral lists this ribosomal RNA (253 nucleotides) under uncultured bacterium. RNAcentral's name for it is "partial 16S ribosomal RNA". It matches the Rfam family "Bacterial small subunit ribosomal RNA", at positions 524 to 776 of the family's 1533-position model. The record is from RNAcentral.